Molecule: ribosomal RNA, 468 nt
Filed under: uncultured bacterium
Lineage: Bacteria
Description: partial 16S ribosomal RNA
Rfam family: Bacterial small subunit ribosomal RNA
Source: RNAcentral
GACGAACGCUGGCGGCGUGCUUAACACAUGCAAGUCGAACGGAAAGGCCCUGCUUUUGUGGGGUGCUCGAGUGGCGAACGGGUGAGUAACACGUGAGUAACCUGCCCUUGACUUUGGGAUAACUUCAGGAAACUGGGGCUAAUACCGGAUAGGAGCUCCUGCUGCAGGGGGGGGGUUGGAAAGUUUCGGCGGUUGGGGAUGGACUCGCGGCUUAUCAGCUUGUUGGUGGGGUAGUGGCUUACCAAGGCUUUGACGGGUAGCCGGCCUGAGAGGGUGACCGGCCACAUUGGGACUGAGAUACGGCCCAGACUCCUACGGGAGGCAGCAGUGGGGAAUAUUGCACAAUGGGCGGAAGCCUAAUGCAGCAACGCCGCGUGCGGGAUGACGGCCUUCGGGUUGUAAACCGCUUUCGCCUGUGACGAAGCGUGAGUGACGGUAAUGGGUAAAGAAGCACCGGCUAACUACGUG